GACGAACGCUGGCGGCGUGCUUAACACAUGCAAGUCGAACGGAAAGGCCCUGCUUUUGUGGGGUGCUCGAGUGGCGAACGGGUGAGUAACACGUGAGUAACCUGCCCUUGACUUUGGGAUAACUUCAGGAAACUGGGGCUAAUACCGGAUAGGAGCUCCUGCUGCUUGGUGGGGGUUGGAAAGUUUCGGCGGUUGGGGAUGGACUCGCGGCUUAUCAGCUUGUUGGUGGGGUAGUGGCUUACCAAGGCUUUGACGGGUAGCCGGCCUGAGAGGGUGACCGGCCACAUUGGGACUGAGAUACGGCCCAGACUACUACGGGAGGCAGCAGAGGGGUAUAUUGCACAAUGGGCGGAAGCCUGAUGCAGCAAAGCCGCGUGCGGGAUGACGGCAUUCGGGUUGUAAACCGCUUUCGCCUGUGACGAAGCGUGAGUGACGGUAAUGGGUAAAGAAGCACCGGCUAACUACGUG
This 468-nucleotide ribosomal RNA is filed under the name uncultured bacterium. RNAcentral describes it as "partial 16S ribosomal RNA". It matches the Rfam family "Bacterial small subunit ribosomal RNA", at positions 28 to 507 of the family's 1533-position model. The record is from RNAcentral.